CAUUACCUAGAGUUGUAGGCUUUGCCUGCUAUCUCUUACCCAUGUCUUUUAAGUACCUUACGUUUCCUCGGCGGGUCCGCCCGCCGAUUGGACAAUUUAAACCAUUUGCAGUUGCAAUCAGCGUCUGAAAAAACUUAAUAGUUACAACUUUCAACAACGGAUCUCUUGGUUCUGGCAUCGAUGAAGAACGCAGCGAAAUGCGAUAAGUAGUGUGAAUUGCAGAAUUCAGUGAAUCAUCGAAUCUUUGAACGCACAUUGCGCCCCUUGGUAUUCCAUGGGGCAUGCCUGUUCGAGCGUCAUUUGUACCUUCAAGCUCUGCUUGGUGUUGGGUGUUUGUCUCGCCUCUGCGUGUAGACUCGCCUCAAAACAAUUGGCAGCCGGCGUAUUGAUUUCGGAGCGCAGUACAUCUCGCGCUUUGCACUCAUAACGACGACGUCCAAAAGUACAUUUUUACACUCUUGACCUCGGAUCAGGUAGGGAUACCCGCUGAACUUAAGCAUAUCAAU
This 506-nucleotide ribosomal RNA is filed under the name fungal endophyte sp. C5-1B1-2-1. RNAcentral's name for it is "eukaryotic LSU rRNA". The stretch from base 146 to 299 matches the Rfam family "5.8S ribosomal RNA". Lineage: Eukaryota; Fungi. The record is from RNAcentral.